GGAGGAAAGCAGGGGAUCGUAAGACCUUGCGCUUUUGGAGCGGCCGAUGCCUGAUUAGCUAGUUGGUGGGGUAAAGGCUUACCAAGGCAACGAUCAGUAGUUGGUCUGAGAGGACGGCCAGCCACACUGGGACUGAGACACGGCCCAGACUCCUACGGGAGGCAGCAGUGGGGAAUUUUGGACAAUGGGCGCAAGCCUGAUCCAGCAAUGCCGCGUGAGUGAAGAAGGCCUUCGGGUUGUAAAGCUCUUUCAGUCGAGAAGAAAAGAUUGUGACGAAUAAUCACAAUUCAUGACGGUAUCGACAGAAGAAGCACCGGCUAACUACGUGCCAGCAGCCGCGGUAAUACGUAGGGUGCAAGCGUUAAUCGGAAUUACUGGGCGUAAAGGGUGCGCAGGCGGCUUUGUAAGUCAGAUGUGAAAUCCCCGGGCUUAACCUGGGAAU
RNAcentral lists this ribosomal RNA (442 nucleotides) under uncultured ammonia-oxidizing beta proteobacterium. RNAcentral describes it as "bacterial SSU rRNA". It matches the Rfam family "Bacterial small subunit ribosomal RNA", at positions 198 to 621 of the family's 1533-position model. The record is from RNAcentral. Lineage: Bacteria; Pseudomonadati; Pseudomonadota; Betaproteobacteria.